RNAcentral lists this transfer RNA (91 nucleotides) under Paenibacillus auburnensis. RNAcentral's name for it is "Paenibacillus sp. JJ-7 tRNA-Glu". The record is from RNAcentral. Lineage: Bacteria; Bacillati; Bacillota; Bacilli; Caryophanales; Paenibacillaceae.
CUUUAUAAUGGCGAAGGUUACAUCUCAUUCUUUUUCGCUGAAGAUGCGUCCUCUGCGGAGCAGGCCGGAAGUGCAACCUUUACUGUAGAGG